This 409-nucleotide ribosomal RNA is filed under the name bacterium. Its description in RNAcentral is "partial 16S ribosomal RNA". It matches the Rfam family "Bacterial small subunit ribosomal RNA", at positions 355 to 776 of the family's 1533-position model. The record is from RNAcentral.
UGGGGAAUAUUGCACAAUGGGCGAAAGCCUGAUGCAGCGACGCCGCGUGAGGGAUGACGGCCUUCGGGUUGUAAACCUCUUUCAGUAGGGACGAAGCGCAAGUGACGGUACCUGCAGAAGAAGCACCGGCUAACUACGUGCCAGCAGCCGCGGUAAUACGUAGGGUGCGAGCGUUGUCCGGAAUUACUGGGCGUAAAGAGCUCGUAGGCGGUUUGUCACGUCGUCUGUGAAAUCCUAGGGCUUAACCCUGGACGUGAAGGCGAUACGGGCUGACUUGAGUACGACAGGGGAGACUGGAAUUUCUGGUGUAGCGGUGGAAUGCACAGAUAUCAGGAAGAACACCGAUGGCGAAGGCAGGUCUCUGGGUAGUAACUGACGCUGAGGAUCGAAAGCAUGGGUAGCGAACAGG